GACCUUCGACAACAGCUGGACCUUCGACAGCAGCUGCAGCAGAGCAGGAGACAGAUGGUAGAAUAUUGAUAGCACCUGAGGGUGACACGUUCUACCCAUCAAAACAACCGACACAUAAAAUACGGGACAUCAUACGGAGCAGGUUUGACGCUCCUUAUGUUUCUUGGAAGAAAGUCCCGAAAGAAGUCCGGGAGAUGUGGUUUAGAGAGUUUGAG
Molecule: long non-coding RNA, 215 nt
Organism: Dendrobium catenatum
Lineage: Eukaryota; Viridiplantae; Streptophyta; Magnoliopsida; Asparagales; Orchidaceae
Exons: 2
Source: RefSeq, a predicted model, not a curated record